AUUUAUGAUAGUUUAAAUUUUUAGAAUAAUAAUUUGUGGUGUUAUUGGUGAAGUGUUUUCUCUAAAUC
Molecule: transfer RNA, 68 nt
Filed under: Tholosanus proximus
Lineage: Eukaryota; Metazoa; Arthropoda; Insecta; Hemiptera; Pentatomidae
Description: tRNA-His
Source: RNAcentral